This 421-nucleotide ribosomal RNA is filed under the name uncultured Cytophagaceae bacterium. RNAcentral's name for it is "bacterial SSU rRNA". It matches the Rfam family "Bacterial small subunit ribosomal RNA", at positions 353 to 772 of the family's 1533-position model. The record is from RNAcentral. Lineage: Bacteria; Pseudomonadati; Bacteroidota; Cytophagia; Cytophagales; Cytophagaceae.
AGUAGGGAAUAUUGGUCAAUGGAUGGAAGUCUGAACCAGCCAUGCCGCGUGCAGGAAGAAGGCCUUAUGGGUUGUAAACUGCUUUUGCCAGGGGAUAAAAUAGCUGUGCGCAGCGAAUUGCAGGUACCUGGUGAAUAAGCCACGGCUAACUACGUGCCAGCAGCCGCGGUAAUACGUAGGUGGCAAGCGUUGUCCGGAUUUAUUGGGUUUAAAGGGUGCGUAGGCGGCCCUGUAAGUCAGUGGUGAAAUACUCCAGCUUAACUGGAGGGGUGCCAUUGAUACUGCAGGGCUUGAGUGGAGUAGAAGUAGGCGGAAUUGACGGUGUAGCGGUGAAAUGCUUAGAUAUCGUCAAGAACACCGAUAGUGAAGACAGCUUACUAUGCUUCAACUGACGCUGAGGCACGAAAGUGUGGGGAUCAAA